RNAcentral lists this transfer RNA (71 nucleotides) under Canis lupus familiaris (dog). It matches the Rfam family "tRNA". Rfam says of the family: Transfer RNA (tRNA) molecules are approximately 80 nucleotides in length. The record is from Rfam by way of RNAcentral. Lineage: Eukaryota; Metazoa; Chordata; Mammalia; Carnivora; Canidae. RNAcentral also lists the same sequence under 1 other name.
ACCCAGCUGCUCCGUGGUAGAGCUUGCGACUUUUAAUCUCAGCGUUGUGAGUUCAAGCCCCACGUUGGGCA